Molecule: non-coding RNA, 2828 nt
Organism: Anas platyrhynchos (mallard)
Lineage: Eukaryota; Metazoa; Chordata; Aves; Anseriformes; Anatidae
Source: RefSeq, a predicted model, not a curated record
GCAAAGGGAGCAAGGGAUCACAGGAAGGCAUGAGUGAUAAUUAAAUUAAUUGAUUGCUCCUGCUGUUAGGCACUCAUCCAACCUGUGAAUUAGCAAUUAACUGAGUGAGAAAACCAUUCCUGGCAAGAGAUAUCAGCAUCCCAAAUACCAGAGGUGCUUAUCAACUGCAAAUGAACAGCCUGUAUCUCUUCUCCUCUGCUCUGAGGGGUGCCUUGACCUACUCAGGGCCUUGUAAUUCAUGGUACCCAUUUUUCAUCCCUCUCAGUUUCCUAAAUAUCUCCUUUAUUACAUUGUCAGCAGGGAGGGAUGAGGUUUGCACUGUGUUCUUGUACUGGGAAGGAGCUGGAGAAGCAGAGGAGGGUAAUGGGGCUGGAGGACAUGCCAAUCUGCACCGAGCAGCCCAGGACGAGGACACCCCACACUGCAAACCCUCUUGGCUUAACAUGAAAGGAACCAAGAAUGAAAGAGCAAGGCCUGGGGAAGUGCUUUCAAGAAGAUCUGUCCCUUGGGAUGAUUCCCCAAGCCGUCCAAAUCACUCGUGGUCUGAAAAUAUGGUGCAUUAAGAUCUGAAAGCCCAUCCUGGUGUUUCCAGACCUGGACAGAAUUGCUUUUGGAAAAGCCUCUUUCUACUCCCUACGCAACCUGGAAAUCAGAGGCAAUUACAACUUAAUGGGAACAUUUCAGUCCCACUCAAGGGCUUUGGGUCUGCACCAGCACUGUCCCUCAGUGCUGGGAUACCCCGAUGCCUCCCACCACUGAGAUGCAGCAGGAGCAGCACAAAAACAACGCCUCUGUUUGUUCCAGCAAUCACCGACCGUCCAGUGAGUGCUGCUGCAGAGGCAGCAUGAAGUUUGCUCUCCCCUCUCCAUGUUAGGAGCUUUCUUCCCCUCCCAGCAAGGAUGGCAAGAGGAGGCAAGGCUAAUUGGGAAGGCACAGCUCUGACGGCCCCAGAGCAGCCUCCAAUUAACAUCAGCACCAGGGCGGUGUUGGGCUUCUGCUAUUAAAAGGAGAGACCACGAGCCUCAUCAGGGCGAUAUGAUGGGACAGGGAUGGCUCUUAGGCAGGCAUAAGUGCAGAUUAAUGCAAGGAGACUCCUGCAGCUGCAUGAAUGGUGCUGCCAAGCAGGAGCCGUAUGCAUGUGAUCUUCUGCAGCGGUGAAAGGGUGUGGGACAGAAAAUGUGAUGUUUUCUGCAUGAAGCAAGAUGUUUCUUUCACCAGAAGUAGUAUCUGGGUGGACAGAAACUCAUCUGUGUGCUAGGAAUGGCUCUGGGGGCUUUCCAAGUGCCUUCACUUCAUCCCCUGUUCCCAGCACAUCGUUGGCAGUGACAGCUCAGUCACCCGUGCUGGGAGAUGAGUUGCAAGGUCCCCGUGUCCUUGCUCAGCUGGGGGCUGUAGACCUGUGUUGCACCUCCAACAGCAGGGCAGGCUUCCUCUUCAUUCCCUGUCCCCAAGAUGGGGACGUCAGCCCUCUUCCCCUUCAUGAGUGCAUGCCCAGGAGCAUCUCCUUAUACAAUCUCGCUCUCCAAAAUUUGAGAUGAAGGAUUCUUCCCUUUUUGGCUGACACAUACCACAGAGCACCUCAACAAGCUCUGCACCCAGGGACAUUUUGUCACUUGUGUCUCCGUGUCUCUACCCCCCAUCCCUUACCCACCCUGUCCCAGCGGUGCUGCACAGCUUACUUGUGGUGUUGUACCGCACACCGUAGAAAUAUUCGGGGCAAGGACGAGCCACCAGCUGUCCCACUGCGCUCCGGGGCCAGCACGUGCCAAUCAGGUCUACGGAGGCGUUGCACUGGGGCCCUGGUGGGGAGAAGGGUUGAAGGUUAGUGGAGGUCUCCAGGCCAUUGAAGGUUCAGGGUUUGCCCAGGGAACUGGGGCUUUGGUCCCAGUUGAGCUGAUGGGUUGCUGCAAGCUCAGCUCUGAGGGAAGCUUCAAGGCAGACGCCAAAUGCUGUCUGUGCUGAGGCUCCCCAGGGGCUGACUGAUCCAUCCUUUCUGUAUCUAUUGCCCAGGUUCUGCCUCAGCACCCAAGUUAAGCCUGGUUCUGCACAAGGCUGCUUUUCUGACCCAGCUUUCCACCUGAGGUCCCCUGCUCUGAUCCUCCAGCCUUUCUUCUUUCUUCAGCCAUGACUUUGGCAUCUGGCCCUGCUACAGCCAUAUUUUUACUGUCCCUGUGAUAACUCCAUCCUGGUGCUGGUGGGACACUCCUCAGAGCUCCUUCAAGCCUCUCACAUCUCCUGGCUCCAACAUCUCCUUCCUGCCCAUCCCUGCUGGUCUAUUCCUGCCUUUCCCAAGAAGAAAGCUCCAAGUCUGCCGCUGCUAUUUCAGAUUUCAAGCAGGACUUGUGUGCUUUUCCCAGCUACACAAGUGUGUUAAUGUAGACAUUAGGUAGGCCAGAUUGCAGGCUUUUUUAUGUAUAAUUUGUGUAUAUUUAGAACAACAUGUACUGUAGCUAAAUAUGUCCUAGCUACAUCUCAAAGUGAGGUAGGAGGCACAACGGCUGUGAUAUCAAUACAAUGCGAUCCCUAGCAGGCAGCAGAUGGAUGAUAGGCAGCAGACCCAGGAAGGGGCAGAGUUCAGUGCAAACCGCUCCUGGGUAAUGGAGAUGUUUGUGCUGCCAGCACAGAGCCAGACAUUGCCAUUUGCAAAGGCAAACUCCCCCCAAUUUGCAGCUCAUCGGGUGUGAGAACAAAGCAGUUUCCUCUCCACUAGGACUUGACACAGAGCAGGUCGCUAUUUGGAAGCCUUUCCCAAGACAUCUUACGGGUAGAGCUGCGUAAAAAACCAGCAGAACAGAAAAGCAAAGCGUUACUUUAUUAGCAUGAUGAAA